AGAGUUUGAUCCUGGCUCAGAUUGAACGCUGGCGGCAGGCCUAACACAUGCAAGUCGAACGGUAACAGGAAACAGCUUGCUGUUUCGCUGACGAGUGGCGGACGGGUGAGUAAUGUCUGGGAAACUGCCUGAUGGAGGGGGAUAACUACUGGAAACGGUAGCUAAUACCGCAUAACGUCGCAAGACCAAAGAGGGGGACCCUCGGGCCUCUUGCCAUCGGAUGUGCCCAGAUGGGAUUAGCUUGUUGGUGGGGUAACGGCUCACCAAGGCGACGAUCCCUAGCUGGUCUGAGAGGAUGACCAGCCACACUGGAACUGAGACACGGUCCAGACUCCUACGGGAGGCAGCAGUGGGGAAUAUUGCACAAUGGGCGCAAGCCUGAUGCAGCCAUGCCGCGUGUAUGAAGAAGGCCUUCGGGUUGUAAAGUACUUUCAGCGGGGAGGAAGGGAGUAAAGUUAAUACCUUUGCUCAUUGACGUUACCCGCAGAAGAAGCACCGGCUAACUCCAUGCCAGCAGCCGCGGUAAUACGGAGGGUGCAAGCGUUAAUCGGAAUUACUGGGCGUAAAGCGCACGCAGGCGGUUUGUUAAGUCAGAUGUGAAAUCCCCGGGCUCAACCUGGGAACUGCAUCUGAUACUGGCAAGCUUGAGUCUCGUAGAGGGGGGUAGAAUUCCAGUGUAGCGGUGAAAUGCGUAGAGAUCUGGAGGAAUACCGGUGGCGAAGCGCCCCUGGACGANACUGACGCUCAGUGCGAAGCGUGGGGGAGCAAACAGGAUAGAUACCUGGUAGUCCACNCGUAACGAUGNCGACUGAGUGUGCCCNGAGGCNNGGCUUCNNAGCUACGCGUAGUCGACGCUGGGGAGUACGC
This 867-nucleotide ribosomal RNA is filed under the name uncultured bacterium. Its description in RNAcentral is "bacterial SSU rRNA". It matches the Rfam family "Bacterial small subunit ribosomal RNA", at positions 8 to 885 of the family's 1533-position model. The record is from RNAcentral.